AGAUUUUCGGAUCCGUACUGAGAUUUUGUCCGAUACCAACCCACUAAGGCUGAUGAAACUUCCAAAAUAAGUGAAGUU
This 78-nucleotide microRNA precursor is filed under the name Schistosoma margrebowiei. Its description in RNAcentral is "mir-3492 microRNA precursor family". It matches the Rfam family "mir-3492 microRNA precursor family". Lineage: Eukaryota; Metazoa; Platyhelminthes; Trematoda; Strigeidida; Schistosomatidae. The record is from Rfam by way of RNAcentral.